GGGCCUAUAGCUCAUCUGGUAGAGCGCACCCUUCGCAUGGGUGAGGUGGCCGGUUCGAGUCCGGCUAGGUCCACCA
Molecule: transfer RNA, 76 nt
Filed under: Candidatus Chisholmbacteria bacterium RIFCSPHIGHO2_01_FULL_52_32
Lineage: Bacteria; Candidatus Chisholmiibacteriota
Also listed under: 2 other names
Description: tRNA-Ala
Rfam family: tRNA
About the family: Transfer RNA (tRNA) molecules are approximately 80 nucleotides in length. Their secondary structure includes four short double-helical elements and three loops (D, anti-codon, and T loops).
Source: RNAcentral